This 497-nucleotide ribosomal RNA is filed under the name uncultured bacterium. RNAcentral's name for it is "partial 16S ribosomal RNA". It matches the Rfam family "Bacterial small subunit ribosomal RNA", at positions 28 to 507 of the family's 1533-position model. The record is from RNAcentral.
GAUGAACGCUGGCGGCGUGCCUAAUACAUGCAAGUCGAGCGAACAGACGAGGAGCUUGCUCCUCUGACGUUAGCGGCGGACGGGUUAGUAACACGUGGAUAACCUACCUAUAAGACUGUGAUAACUUCGGGAAACCGGCGCUAAUACCGGAUAAUAUAUUGAACCGCAUGGUUCAAUAGUGAAAGACGGUUUUGCUGUCACUUAUAGAUGGAUCCGCGCCUCAUUAGCUAGUUGGUAAGGUAACGGCUUACCAAGGCAACGAUGCGUAGCCGACCUGAGAGGGUGAUCGGCCACACUGGAACUGAGACACGGUCCAGACUCCUACGGGAGGCAGCAGUAGGGAAUCUUCCGCAAUGGGCGAAAGCCUGACGGAGCAACGCCGCGUGAGUGAUGAAGGUCUUCGGAUCGUAAAACUCUGUUAUUAGGGAAGAACAAAUGUGUAAGUAACUAUGCACGUCUUGACGGUACCUAAUCAGAAAGCCACGGCUAACUACGUG